UAACACAUGCAAGUCGAGGGGCAGCAUGAACUUAGCUUGCUAAGUUUGAUGGCGACCGGCGCACGGGUGCGUAACACGUAUCCAACUUGCCCCAUACACGGGGAUAGCCUUUCGAAAGAAAGAUUAAUACCCGAUGCAGUGCGUUAUGGGCAUCCAUGAUGCACUAAAGGAGCAAUCGGUAUGGGAUAGGGAUGCGGACGAUUAGCUGGUUGGCGGGGUAACGGCCCACCAAGGCGACGAUCGUUAGGGGUUCUGAGAGGAAGGUCCCCCACACUGGAACUGAGACACGGUCCAGACUCCUACGGGAGGCAGCAGUGAGGAAUAUUGGUCAAUGGACGCGAGUCUGAACCAGCCAAGUAGCGUGAAGGACUACAGCCCUAUGGGUUUUAAACUUCUUUUGUAUGGGAAUAACGUGCGCCACGUGUGGCGCAGUGCAUGUACCAUACGAAUAAGCAUCGGCUAAUUCCGUGCCAGCAGCCGCGGUAAUACGGAAGAUGCGAGCGUUAUCCGGAUUUAUUGGGUUUAAAGGGAGCGUAGGCGGGCUGUUAAGUCAGCGGUAAAAUGUCAAGGCCCAACCUUGUCUUGCCGUUGAAACUGGCGGUCUUGAAUGCACACAAGGGGGAUGGAAUUCGUCGUGUAGCGGUGAAAUGCUUAGAUAUGACGAAGAACUCCGAUUGCGAAGGCAGUUCCCUGGAGUGCGAUUGACGCUGAGGCUCGAAAGUGCGGGUAUCAAACAGGAUUAGAUACCCUGGUAGUCCGCACCGUAAACGAUGAAUGCUGGUUUUUGGCGAUAUAAUGUCAGGAACUGAGGGAAACCAUUAAGCAUUCCACCUGGGGAGUACGCCGGCAACGGUGAAACUCAAAGGAAUUGACGGGGGCCCGCACAAGCGGAGGAACAUGUGGUUUAAUUCGAUGAUACGCGAGGAACCUUACCCGGGCUUGAAUUGCAGAGGACAGGCAUGGAGACAUGCCCUCCCUUCGGGGUCUCUGUGAAGGUGCUGCAUGGUUGUCGUCAGCUCGUGCCGUGGGGUGUCGGCUUAAGUGCCAUAACGAGCGCAACCCUUGCUGUCAGUUGCCAUCGGGUGAUGCCGGGCACUC
Molecule: ribosomal RNA, 1098 nt
Filed under: uncultured bacterium
Lineage: Bacteria
Description: bacterial SSU rRNA
Rfam family: Bacterial small subunit ribosomal RNA
Source: RNAcentral